Molecule: small RNA, 35 nt
Filed under: Arabidopsis thaliana (thale cress)
Lineage: Eukaryota; Viridiplantae; Streptophyta; Magnoliopsida; Brassicales; Brassicaceae
Description: ATSL114430
Source: RNAcentral
UUUGCAGAAGAAGAAGAAGAAGAACCAUUAUCUAA